CCUACGGUGGGCAGCAGUGAGGAAUAUUGGUCAAUGGUCGGGAGACUGAACCAGCCAAGCCGCGUGAGGGAUGAAGGUACAGAGUAUCGUAAACCUCUUUUGUCAGGGAAUAAAGGCGGGGACGCGUCCCCGGAUGAGUGUACCUGACGAAAAAGCAUCGGCUAACUACGUGCCAGCAGCCGCGGUAAUACGUAGGGGGCAAGCGUUAUCCGGAUUUACUGGGUGUAAAGGGGGCGCAGACGGCAAUGCAAGCCAGGAUGGAAAGCCCGGGGCCCAACCCCGGGACUGCGCUUGGAACUGGAUGGCUGGAGUACAGGAGGGGCAGGCGGAAUUCCUAGUGUAGCGGUGAAAUGCGGAGAUAUUAGGAGGAACACCGGUGGCGAAGGCGGCCUGCUGGACUGUGACUGACGUUGAGGCCCGAAGGCGUGGGGAGCAAACAGGAUUAGAUACCCGGGUAGUC
Molecule: ribosomal RNA, 460 nt
Filed under: uncultured bacterium
Lineage: Bacteria
Description: partial 16S ribosomal RNA
Rfam family: Bacterial small subunit ribosomal RNA
Source: RNAcentral